GAUGAACGCUAUCUACAGGCUUAACACAUGCAAGUCGAGGGGCAUCAGGAAGAAAGCUUGCUUUCUUUGCUGGCGACCGGCGCACGGGUGAGUAACACGUAUCCAACCUGCCCUUUACUCGGGGAUAGCCUUUCGAAAGAAAGAUUAAUACCCGAUGGCAUAAUGAUUCCGCAUGGUUUCAUUAUUAAAGGAUUCCGGUAAAGGAUGGGGAUGCGUUCCAUUAGGUUGUUGGUGAGGUAACGGCUCACCAAGCCUUCGAUGGAUAGGGGUUCUGAGAGGAAGGUCCCCCACAUUGGAACUGAGACACGGUCCAAACUCCUACGGGAGGCAGCAGUGAGGAAUAUUGGUCAAUGGGCGCUAGCCUGAACCAGCCAAGUAGCGUGAAGGAUGAAGGCUCUAUGGGUCGUAAACUUCUUUUAUAUAAGAAUAAAGUGCAGUAUGUAUACUGUUUUGUAUGUAUUAUAUGAAUAAGGAUCGGCUAACUCCGUGCCAGCAGCCGCGGUAAUACGGAGGAUCCGAGCGUUAUCCGGAUUUAUUGGGUUUAAAGGGAGCGUAGGUGGACUGGUAAGUCAGUUGUGAAAGUUUGCGGCUCAACCGUAAAAUUGCAGUUGAUACUGUCAGUCUUGAGUACAGUAGAGGUGGGCGGAAUUCGUGGUGUAGCGGUGAAAUGCUUAGAUAUCACGAAGAACUCCGAUUGCGAAGGCAGCUCACUGGACUGCAACUGACACUGAUGCUCGAAAGUGUGGGUAUCAAACAGGAUUAGAUACCCUGGUAGUCCACACAGUAAACGAUGAAUACUCGCUGUUUGCGAUAUACAGUAAGCGGCCAAGCGAAAGCAUUAAGUAUUCCACCUGGGGAGUACGCCGGCAACGGUGAAACUCAAAGGAAUUGACGGGGGCCCGCACAAGCGGAGGAACAUGUGGUUUAAUUCGAUGAUACGCGAGGAACCUUACCCGGGCUUAAAUUGCAGUGGAAUGAUGUGGAAACAUGUCAGUGAGCAAUCACCGCUGUGAAGGUGCUGCAUGGUUGUCGUCAGCUCGUGCCGUGAGGUGUCGGCUUAAGUGCCAUAACGAGCGCAACCCUUAUCUUUAGUUACUAACAGGUUAUGCUGAGGACUCUAGAGAGACUGCCGUCGUAAGAUGUGAGGAAGGUGGGGAUGACGUCAAAUCAGCACGGCCCUUACGUCCGGGGCUACACACGUGUUACAAUGGGGGGUACAGAAGGCAGCUAGCGGGUGACCGUAUGCUAAUCCCAAAAGCCUCUGUCAGUUCGGAUGGAAGUCUGCAACCCGACUUCGUGAAGCUGGAUUCGCUAGUAAUCGCGCAUCAGCCACGGCGCGGUGAAUACGUUCCCGGGCCUUGUACACACCGCCCGUCAAGCCAUGGGAGCCGGGGGUACCUGAAGUACGUAACCGCAAGGAUCGUCCUAGGGUAAAACUGGUGACUGGGGCUAAGUC
Molecule: ribosomal RNA, 1456 nt
Filed under: uncultured organism
Description: SSU rRNA
Rfam family: Bacterial small subunit ribosomal RNA
Source: RNAcentral